GAUUAUGCAGGGAAGAGAAGUUGCGUCUAUCACCUCUCAAAAACAUUGAAGGACUCUUUGGAUUUCGGAACUUACUACUGUGCUGUGGUUCUUUGUGGAGAAAUACUGUUAGGUGGUGGAAGUACACUGGAAAAAAAGCCAGACUUGCCUGUUCUUUUCCUUGGAGGACUGUUGCUUUGCUGUGUUACAGUGAUGGUCUGCCUUAUCAUCUACAUACUUUGGAGGAGAGUUUCUGAAAAAUCAUCAGGGAAAAAUGCCUCACUUGCUAAUGCUGCUAAUGGUGGUUCAACUCCUGUUCAUCCAAAAGAUUUGGCCAGAGAAGAUGCGAAUUAUGCAGCAGUACUGGAAUUAUGUGCAACAAACAGGAGACAGUGGAAGAAAAUGAAAGAGAACACAGAAUGUGUGUAUUCUAUAGUUAGAGCUGAUUCACGAAAACACAGCAGCUCUAAUUAGAUUCUCAUAGUUUUAAUGAUUCAGGAAAAUCGGGACCAGGAAAAGUCCAGAAGUUCUACUCUUCCUGCCUCAUGCUAAAUUCUACAAUAAUUAUGGUAGUUGUUUAUAGUUUUAGUGGUGUUUAUCUGCAUUAACCAAAUACCUUUUACAUGGGAAUAUGACAUUUUUUUUUCUUCAUGUUGGCCGCAUUUACAAAAGGGGCUUCAAACUGGACUCCCUCUUCAGAUGCCAAAUAAGCUUCCGUUUUUUUCUUUUUUUUUGUAAU
This is a long non-coding RNA of Cyprinodon variegatus (sheepshead minnow), 718 nucleotides long. RefSeq lists it as uncharacterized. The record is from RefSeq and is a predicted model, not a curated record. NCBI's taxonomy places the organism in Eukaryota, Metazoa, Chordata, Actinopteri, Cyprinodontiformes, Cyprinodontidae. The transcript has 4 exons.